RNAcentral lists this ribosomal RNA (441 nucleotides) under uncultured bacterium. RNAcentral describes it as "partial 16S ribosomal RNA". It matches the Rfam family "Bacterial small subunit ribosomal RNA", at positions 28 to 507 of the family's 1533-position model. The record is from RNAcentral.
GAUGAACGCUGGCGGCGUGCCUAAUACAUGCAAGUCGAACGGGGAGUAGCAAUACUCUUAGUGGCGAACGGGUGAGUAACGCGUUGGUACCUGCCCCGAAGCGGGGGAUAACGGACCGAAAGGUCCGCUAAUACCCCAUGUGCUCGGUAACGAGUAAAGGUGAAAACCACUUUGGGAGGGGCCUGCGUCCCAUCAGCUAGUUGGUAAGGUAACGGCUUACCAAGGCGAUGACGGGUAGGGGACCUGAGAGGGUGGCCCCCCACAAUGGAACUGAAACACGGUGCAUACACCUACGGGUGGCAGCAGUAGGGAAUAUUGGGAAUGGGCGCAAGCCUGAACCAGCAACGCCGCGUGUGCGAUGACGGCCUUCGGGGUGUAAAGCACUUUUGACUGGGACGAGGAAGGACGGUACCGGUAGAAUCAGCCUCGGCUAACUACGUG